Neopsephotus bourkii (Bourke's parrot) is the source of this 1854-nucleotide long non-coding RNA. RefSeq lists it as uncharacterized. Lineage: Eukaryota; Metazoa; Chordata; Aves; Psittaciformes; Psittacidae. The transcript is spliced from 2 exons. The record is from RefSeq and is a predicted model, not a curated record.
UGGUUGCAAUGUGCUCUCCUCUUGCAUUAGGCCACAAGCCAUCCCCUGAAAAAUGCGUCCUGGCUGAGAGUGCCAUUCCCCAAUCUCAGGCAUCUCGAGCCAUAUGCAUCGAAUUAAAACCAAAUGCACAACAUAAAUCUCCCUGCCAUUCCUCGGAAAGGUUUCACAUGACAAGCACAUUCCUGUGACACUUUCCAUCUUCUGUUUUACCGCACAGGCUAACAGCUGUUUCCAAAACAAACCCGGAGUGAGGAACACACAAAAUCCUCACUCUUUGGACAAACUUGCUGUUAUUGCACCGGGGUGGUGCGUGUGAGUGGAUGCUCUGUGUCUGUUGGGCUUCCACUGCGACUGGCUCUGCACCGCUCACGUGCAGGCCUGGGGCCUCGGUGGGGCUGUGCCAUCAUUCUUUGGGGUUUUUCCCCCACAGAAGCAUGUUGGGAAGCCAAGCAGAAUAUGGUUUUAGAGAGGUGACUUGUUUUGCACAGUAAGCCUUAUCCUACCUUAAACGUUUCCAGGCUGAGAGGGAAAUUAAUGAAGACUCUCACUAAUGCAGACUCCUUCUCGCUGUUGUCAUCUUUGGUGUACUUGGAGUUGGCAGGCCCUUGGCAGCAGGAACUGCCAACCACCACUCCUUGUGUGUCUCCCACCCACUCUGCAGCCUGCCCCAAGGAGGGUUUGCUCACCAGCUCGCCGUGGUACCAGCUCUCAAACUCCCACAUCCACCUUUCCCAGUGCACAGGGCAAGUUCCGACAGCGAUUCCCUCUCUGGGAGGAUGUUUACCUUCCACAGCCGCCUUUCCCUUACAGUUAAACAGGAAUGUUUCCUUUUCUAAACAGUUUACAUUUCUGAUUCCAGAGGUAUCCAGCUUGCCAAAGCCACCAGUAUUUGUCUCACUUUAAAUACAUUUAUAUGCUAAUGCAGGCGGCCUCUCCUGCUUGCACCCGCACCACACACAGCUGUAUGGGAAUAUCUCUUUUCUUGCUACAAAAUGGGACCAUCAAACAUCCUUUGGAUUCAUCUCCAUUAAUCAAGAUCUGUGCAUGUGCUCGUGCAAUACAGACAUUCCUGUGAUAAACCAGAUGCGCACACCUCUGCAUCGGCUGUCCAGACUUGACAGAUCGGUGCCACGUUUGGAGGAGGAGGAGGAGGAGAGGGGAGGAAGGAAAUGUAAUUUCGAGGAUACAGUUCUGUGUAUGCCUGGGCAGCAUUUCUCCCCUUUUUUUUAUUGCCUUUGGGAUCAUCUUACAACAUUCUCUGUCCAAAGACUUGGGAGCACUUCACAGAUAUUACCUGAUUACAAUCUGCAGAGGUAUGAAGUGCUUUUCCCAAGGUCAAUCAGCCACUCAUGGCAGAGUUUGUAUAAUCAGCCUGCGGAGCCAUCAGUGUAGAAAAGACUCAUCUCCUUUUCCUGGGGGAAGCGAGGGGAUGCUCUCAUCACAUCCAGACCUUUUCUGCAGAGGGGAAGGGAAGCAGCAGCUGCUUCUCCUGCAGAUGCUGGGGAGCUCAGGGGCUCUCUGAGAACCCCUCAAGGGCCAAGGUACCACUGAUGAGCAUCAGUGAGCAUCCUGGUGAGGAUGGCACCGGUGAGAGCAGGUUUGCUGUUGGUCCAGGAUUUUUCUCUCACUUCUCUAUUGCCCGUUGUGCCCUGUCUGUUCUCUGCUGCCCCUUUUUGUGUUCCACACGACUCCCAUUUCCUCACUCCUGUCAAGAGAACUGGAAAACACCAACAGCCCUGUGCUUUGUUAGACAGUGCUUGAGAACAGUGAUGAAACCUGCUUAGAUGGAUGUACCUGAAAUGCUUUUCCAUUGAAAACUGAUGAUUCAGUGACAUAAAAUGUUCUGUGCUAACA